RNAcentral lists this ribosomal RNA (164 nucleotides) under Passiflora talamancensis. RNAcentral describes it as "5.8S ribosomal RNA". It matches the Rfam family "5.8S ribosomal RNA". Rfam says of the family: 5.8S ribosomal RNA (5.8S rRNA) is a component of the large subunit of the eukaryotic ribosome. It is transcribed by RNA polymerase I as part of the 45S precursor that also contains 18S and 28S rRNA. The record is from RNAcentral. Lineage: Eukaryota; Viridiplantae; Streptophyta; Magnoliopsida; Malpighiales; Passifloraceae.
UAAAUGACUCUCGGCAACGGAUAUCUUGGCUCUCGCAUCGAUGAAGAACGUAGCGAAAUGCGAUACUUGGUGUGAAUUGCAGAAUCCCGUGAACCAUCGAGUUUUUGAACGCAAGUUGCGCCCAAAGCCUUCGGGCCGAGGGCACGUCUGCCUGGGUGUCAUGU